RNAcentral lists this ribosomal RNA (457 nucleotides) under uncultured Streptococcus sp. RNAcentral describes it as "bacterial SSU rRNA". It matches the Rfam family "Bacterial small subunit ribosomal RNA", at positions 924 to 1382 of the family's 1533-position model. The record is from RNAcentral. Lineage: Bacteria; Bacillati; Bacillota; Bacilli; Lactobacillales; Streptococcaceae.
CACAAGCGGUGGAGCAUGUGGUUUAAUUCGAAGCAACGCGAAGAACCUUACCAGGUCUUGACAUCCCGAUGCUAUUUCUAGAGAUAGAAAGUUACUUCGGUACAUCGGUGACAGGUGGUGCAUGGUUGUCGUCAGCUCGUGUCGUGAGAUGUUGGGUUAAGUCCCGCAACGAGCACAACCCCUAUUGUUAGUUGCCAUCAUUCAGUUGGGCACUCUAGCGAGACUGCCGGUAAUAAACCGGAGGAAGGUGGGGAUGACGUCAAAUCAUCAUGCCCCUUAUGACCUGGGCUACACACGUGCUACAAUGGUUGGUACAACGAGUUGCGAGUCGGUGACGGCGAGCUAAUCUCUUAAAGCCAAUCUCAGUUCGGAUUGUAGGCUGCAACUCGCCUACAUGAAGUCGGAAUCGCUAGUAAUCGCGGAUCAGCACGCCGCGGUGAAUACGUUCCCGGGCCUU